RNAcentral lists this ribosomal RNA (481 nucleotides) under uncultured bacterium. RNAcentral's name for it is "partial 16S ribosomal RNA". It matches the Rfam family "Bacterial small subunit ribosomal RNA", at positions 28 to 523 of the family's 1533-position model. The record is from RNAcentral.
GACGAACGCUGGCGGCGUGCUUAACACAUGCAAGUCGAACGGUGACGGAGAGCUUGCUCUCCUGAUCAGUGGCGAACGGGUGAGUAACACGUGGGCAAUCUGCCCCUGACUUCGGGAUAACGCUUCGAAAGUGGUGCUAAUACCGGAUACGAACUCGGCAGGCAUCUGCUGAGUUUGAAAGUUUUUCGGUCAGGGAGGAGCCCGCGGCCUAUCAGCUUGUUGGUGAGGUAGCGGCUCACCAAGGCGACGCCGGGUAGCCGGCCUGAGAGGGCGACCGGCCACACUGGGACUGAGACACGGCCCAGACUCCUACGGGAGGCAGCAGUGGGGAAUAUUGCGCAAUGGGCGAAAGCCUGACGCAGCAACGCCGCGUGAGGGAUGACGGCCUUCGGGUUGUAAACCUCUUUCAGCAGGGAAGAAGCGAAAGUGACGGUACCUGCAGAAGAAGCACCGGCUAACUACGUGCCAGCCGCCGCAGUAA